RNAcentral lists this ribosomal RNA (426 nucleotides) under uncultured Barnesiella sp. Its description in RNAcentral is "bacterial SSU rRNA". It matches the Rfam family "Bacterial small subunit ribosomal RNA", at positions 355 to 775 of the family's 1533-position model. Lineage: Bacteria; Pseudomonadati; Bacteroidota; Bacteroidia; Bacteroidales; Barnesiellaceae. The record is from RNAcentral.
UGAGGAAUAUUGGUCAAUGGGCGGAAGCCUGAACCAGCCAAGUCGCGUGAGGGAAUAAGGCCCUACGGGUCGUAAACCUCUUUUGUCAGGGAGCAAGGCGCGGUACGUGUACCGCGACGGAGAGUACCUGAAGAAAAAGCAUCGGCUAACUCCGUGCCAGCAGCCGCGGUAAUACGGAGGAUGCGAGCGUUAUCCGGAUUUAUUGGGUUUAAAGGGUGCGUAGGCGGGCUUUUAAGUCAGCGGUCAAAUUGAGGGGCUCAACCCCUUCCCGCCGUUGAAACUGGGAGUCUUGAGUGAGCGAGAAGUAAGCGGAAUGCGUGGUGUAGCGGUGAAAAUGCAUAGAUAUCACGCAGAAACCCCGAUUGCGAAGGCAGCUUACCGGCGCUCAACUGACGCUGAGGCACGAAAAGUGUGGGUAUCGAAACA